This 1558-nucleotide long non-coding RNA is filed under the name Bos grunniens (domestic yak). Its description in RNAcentral is "lncRNA (ENSBGRG00000023158.1)". The record is from RNAcentral. Lineage: Eukaryota; Metazoa; Chordata; Mammalia; Artiodactyla; Bovidae.
UUAAUACUGUGAUUUCCACUGUUGUUCUGUUUUUCCUUGCAUUUUCCUGAUAAUGCCUUUACUGAUCCGUUUGCUGUGAACCUUAUGUAAUUUCAGUGUGUCAGGUGGGUUCUGUGUUACCAGCUUCUAAUUACAGAUUGCCUUGGCAUCCAAUCUAAGUUUCUGUCAACAGUAAAGUUUCACCCAUUUGCAUGGAAAAAUGUAAAGUUAAUAAAGUAAUUAAAAAGCAAUUUAUACAUUUAUUAUUGUCUGAUUAAAGAAAAAAUACAUGAACCCUUCAAAAAUCUGAAAUCACAUAUCCCAGGAUGGUAAUUGGAGCACAUUUCUCUGUGGUUGGAUAAUACAUGACUUUUUUUUUCAUUUAUUAUCUGGGAUUUUAGAAGCAAUGAGAACAGUUUUUCAAUGAGUCUGUGAUUGAACAUAAUUACUGGUUCAGCAGACUUAAAGAAAAUUGAACUUUAAGUAUCUUCCAGCCUUAACUGGAAGUAAACCCUCCCUUCAUUACAGAUACAUUCCUGUAAAGAGUCAGUCUUCUCUUCUGUGAAAUGGGAUAAAUAAUUUCUGCCUUAGAGGGCUGCCGAAUGGAAUACAUGAGGUGUGGAACUGUUGGCCUGCCUCCUAUGCAACUCCCCAGCAUUUAACAGGACCCUGGCUCUCAUCAGAUCCUUGGGCAGUACUAAGGGGAAUUUUCACCCAGGCUCACAGCAGGAAAAAUAGCAAACUUGACUGUCUAUUGAAGAAACUUAAAAAGGGUCACCUUUGUGACCAGAGCCAGCAUUGCACUUUGAACACCACUGAGCAGGAAACCUGAGACAGAGAAAUAGGGUUAAUCUUAAUGGUGGAACAUAUUUUGACCUGCUGAGAUUGAGGUAAGUUUGAGACAUUCAGGAGAGUUCCAUUAAAGUUCAGACAAAAAUCUACAGGGCCAAAGAGUAGUUUGGGCUAGACAUAUGGAAUUGUAGUGACAAAUGCAGAAAUGAAUAGGAUCUGCCAAAGAGAACAUAGAGACUGAAAAGAGAGAGGACUUGUAAUGUUCAGGGAAGUGAUAUAGCUCAGGCUCUAAGAGUCCAAGUGUUAGAACUUCUCACUUCUACUUGGGUCUAAAUCUCUACUCAGCCCCUCAGUAUUCCAGUAAAAUACAACUAUGAGAUAGUUAUGUAAGAUUCACAUUGAAUAUAAGAACAAAGAAUGGGUGAACCUAAGAGAAUGCUAAAAGGUAUAUUUUGCAAAUUGUAUCUAUAAGAAUGCUGAUACUGAUUUUUAAAUAUCAAACAAGAUUGAAUUCAAAGCAAUUGACAAUUAUAUAGAUUAAAAAGAGACAUUUAAUAAAGAGAAAGAUCAAUCCACUAGAUGGUAUUCUAAUUAUUUAUAUGUGCCUAAAGACAUAAAGGAAAAAAAUCAGAAUAACAGAACAAGUAUAAAAUGCAUAAUUAUAGUGAGAAGGAAUAAUACAAAGCAUUUUUUUGGUAAAUAAUAGUAUUAUCAAAAAAUAUCAGUAAAGACCUCAAAGAUUUUACAAAAUUCUUAACAUAUAUGACCUUAUCAUAUAUAUAGAACA